This 360-nucleotide ribosomal RNA is filed under the name Triticum aestivum (bread wheat). RNAcentral's name for it is "partial small subunit ribosomal RNA". The record is from RNAcentral. Lineage: Eukaryota; Viridiplantae; Streptophyta; Magnoliopsida; Poales; Poaceae.
AUGAUGGCUGUAGCCUGCCCUUUUUGGUGCCUACUGUACGCGCGCGGUGCUUUCGGAUGCUUUGAGCUAGUGUGCCGUAUGCUCCGCCACAUUUUGCACCCAUUGGUUAUUUGGCUUGAUAGGUGCGCCCGCUGGUGCAGCAGCGGUUCCAUGUUUCUGUGCACUUCCCAGUAUUCUGGUUUAGGAUUUAAGGUUGUGCCCCCAAAAAUCAAAUUCUUUGCAUGGUUAGCUCUACAAGAUUGGAUUUGGACCGCCGAUAGGUUGGGGAAGCGGGGUUGGCAAAAUUGUGGUCUCUAUCAACUUUGCAAAAGAGCAAGAAAUGAGAGCACAUCUCUUCUUCAAAUGUCGUUGCACCCUUAG